UAAGUUUCGAGUGCAUCGACAGCAGACGGCGCAAGCCGCAGUAAAAUAUCGUCGCGUGCGACCGAGCGCUAUUGCGAAUACGAAAAACUGAAGCAAUGAGAAUGGUAAUACACGACAAAAAAACAGCGACUGUCGUACCCAUUUAGCUUCAUUUUGUUGCGGAAAGCUGUUAUAAUCAAGAUACAACAAUGGCUGAAAGAAAUGAAGUAAACUUGGAACGGAUACACAAUGAUUGCCUAAAUGUAUCCGGAAAUUAUGAAAAUCAAGAACUUUUUAAUAGUCGAUCUAUUGAUGUUAAGACACCCAAAGUUAUAUUUCCAUGGCUUAUUAAAUUUAAUAAAGUGAUGUGUUCAUCUGUGGGAAGUAGAAGCUCUCAGCUGUUACAGCGUUUAAUUUCCCUUUAUACACAGAACAUUUUAACUAGUAUAAAUACAUACUGUGAAAAAGCACUCCAUAUGAUACAGUUAAAGAAUCAUAUAAAUAGUACCUUAACAUUUUUUCAUAUUUACUGGCAUGACAUUAAAGAGUAUGUUGGUGAUUGUGAUAUAUAUUUAAAUGCAAUGUCAGUAUUGUUAGGAAUAUAUAUAGAUAUGGAGCUUAAAACUUUUAGGCACACUAAAGAUUCUUCCUCGGUAAUUGCAAAACUUCUUUCAACAUUGUGGAUAUAUUUAGAUAAUUCAGAGAAGCAUAUCUUUAGAGUGCUGCUUAAACUUAAACAUAUUACUAAAAAAUAUACUAAACUAUGCGACCCCAUAUUUAUGAGAAGCAUCACAAACUUAAAAAGAAGGGUAAAAUCUUUGACAGACAUAGAUUACAUCAGAUAUUUGCUUAUUUUAAAAAUAUGGAAAAGAAUGAAGGAAAACCUUAAAGAGAAAAAAGAAGUAAAUAAGAUGGCUUUAAUGAUCCUAGGUCCAUGUACGCCAAAAAUGCGCGACGAGUUAUUAAAGAUCAUACCAAAACCACCCACAGGACACGAAAAUGAAACACUUUGGUUACUACAACCAAAUGUAUUUGAUUUAAAAACAGCAUGUAAUAAUUUCUUAGCAUUUGAAGAUGCACUGUCUGUUCCACACAAAGAUUCUCAUUUAACAAGAAAUGGAGAUUUGAAAAAUUUCCAGAAAUCACAGAUUAUUUCAUCAUGUGGUAUAAAUUAUAUUCAAGAAUGUACUAUAAACUAUGAAUUAAACAAAAGCGAAAUGAACUGUGUUCAAAAUAGUAAUUCUAUCCAAAAUGAAGUAAAUUUCACUAAAUCUGCUAAUAAAAUUUUUCCUGCGAAAAAAAACAACAAAUUUAAGAAAUAUAAAAAAACAUCGAAGCUAAAACCCGGAGAAAUAAUAUUAAUCGAUUUAACCGAAGAAAAUGAGUCAUUACGAGUAGAUAAAAGCAAGAAAAAGAAGUCUAAAAGAAAAUUAGAAUGGUUAAAAAUGACGAGGAAAAAAUAUAAAGUAGAAAAGCAAGUUGAUGAAGUGAAGUGUAAAAAUCUAGUGGAAAUUGCAGAUGCCCAUAGCACAGAAAAUUCAGAAUGUUCUGUGAAUAAAAUCCUUUUAGAAUAUUUACCAAUUUCAGACAAUAAAGUUAGCGAAAGUACAGAAAGUUGUUGUAGUUUGGUAGAACAAGAGCCACUACAAGAUAAUAUUCAUUAUAUUGAUUCUCAGAAUAUACACGAUUACAUUUGCAAUAAAAGAUCUAAAGAAUUAAAAUGCACAUUUCAGCAUAAACAAUGUGAUAUCUGUACUUUAUCGUUAAAGCAAAGUGAUAUACAACACAAUAAAGUUUUAUCUUUAUUGAAACUUUUAAAUCCAGUUGGACAAAAUGUUAAAGAACCAAAAACCAUAUUAAACUUAUUUAGGGAGAGUAGAGAACAGAAUAUGUCUUCUCAAGAUACACUUUUUUCUAGAAGCGCAGCCAAUGAAUCUAGCGAAAUAAAUACUCUAAGUAAGGAUUUUGGGGAAGAAUCAUUUUCACAACCAGAAAGUUCUAUAGAAACGAUACUCUUGUCAAAAGAGUGCCAAAACAGUAUUAUAAAUACACAGUCUAUAAAGCAAGAGUUACCAACAAGUACAGAUUAUGGUGCGACAGAAGCUGAUGCUUACUGUCGAAACGAAUCUGAGAAUGUACAAAACGAUUUUCGUUUACCUGACUCUAGAUUUCUGAAUACUAGUUCGCAAAUAACGGAAUCUGUGAAGCAAAAGGUCUCGUGCGAUUGCAGUAAGAAAAUUGAAGUGAAACCCUUUUUCUGUCAUAAUUUUAGUAUAUUUAAUACGACAAAGAGUGGGGAUACAACGCAAACUACAGUACGCGAUAACACUAUGGAUAAGAAAUCAAUUUCCGAUAAAAAUAUAAUGUGCAUGCUGAGCGAUCUAGACAAAUGCAUGGACGUUUUAAAUCGUAUCGGUGAACACAUUAUGACUGUGCACGCAGAAAAACAACGACCGGAGUGUUUAAGCAACACUGACACGUGCACAGUUUCCACUACAGUUUUCGGGGAUCAGAUUGUAAAGUCAUCGUUAGGUUGGACACUGGGCGGUAACCAGGAAACGAACGGAGUGCUAAACCAGCGAAAAUGUGAUUCAGACAUUUGUAAAAAACUAACGAUUUCAUCUUCGCAACCAAAGGAAUUACAUUCCUACGAAAAGGAUCAUAGCACUUUUUCUGAAAAUAAGUUAUUCGAAAGUUUUGUUUGUAGUCACAUUAAAUCUGAAUUUGAACAGGUCAUUAAAGAGGAAAACAGCGAAAGUUUUGAAAUUAUAACAGAUCGGCCACGGAAAACAGGUGGGCAUAAAGUUGCUAUGAUAACAAAUAACCAAACACAUACAAGCGAAUCUUUACCAUAUGAUAUAAAAAGUACUGAGAAUCGGACCGAAAACUUACAUUGCGAGUCCAUGUUGCAAGAUGAUUCCUCAUUGAAAACCGAUAAAGCAAAAACACAUUUUAUAGAUGAAUUCGAAAAUAUUGAUAUUUUAGACAGCAUUCUGAAUGGAGAUAUGACUAUGGAAGACGAGCAAGAAAUUUUGGAAAAUUCACAAUCCUCGUUAAUCUCGCCGAUUAAUUAUGAUAAUUCAAAUAAUGUGUUGAAUUGUAUUACGGAAUUUUUCUCGCAAGCUGAACAUAUAUGCAAAAAUGAAAAGGGCGAAAAAAAUAUUACUUCGGACGCAGAUAAUUCUAUAACACCAUUACCCGAAGGUAGUCUUGGAACAAUGGGAAUAUUAAACUCUUUAUUAGAUUUCGAAUUAACAAAUAUGGAUUCUUCUCCAAACGAUUUUAUGUAUUCGAAUGUACAAACAGUUAAUCCGCGAUUAAUUAAAAAGAGUUUCGAGGGAGAGAUUUUUUCGGUGAAAGAUAGCAAUAUUUCGGAAUUAAAUUCUCAUACGAAGAAAACGGUUAUAGUUGGAAAAAACAAUAAAGAUGAUGUGCUUCCACAAAAAGAGAAGGAUAAUCAAAACGAUCCUAUCGACAGUAGUGUGAAUGUAGUUGGAUUUGGAUUAAAUUCUAAUAAGGAAGAAACGCUUGAAUUUCAUUUGUUAAUUAAAGAUAUAUCUUCUUUUUCCAAUCAGCCAACUAUCUUAGCCAAUUCGGAUAACAUAUCUUCCGAACUAAAAGAACCGCUUCCUAAAUCCAGUCUUUCUGGUCCUGUUGAUAAACUUAAUACCGAUACUGUAAUAGAAAAAUCUUACGUUUUUCAAAAAGAAGAUACGAUUAAUGAAGUUCGUUCUUUCGGCGAUUCGGUAAAUCGUGUUUCGUCUGAAAUGUGUAUUUCCAAUGACGUUUCAUCAAAUGUUGUAAUGAAUUGCACAAGUCAACAAGAUGAUCUUUCGUCAUCGCAUAAGCAUACUUAUAUGGAACUUAGAACAAGCCCUUUGGCGACAAAACAACCUUCAGAUUCUGACUUGUUGUCUUCCGCAGAUUUAAUGCCAUGUAACACUGUUGCAACCUCACAAUACGAAUUUAUAGAAUGCGAAAAUUCUUUGAAACAAAGAAAUAUUCAGAAAAAUAUACAACAUAAUUGUAAAGAACAGCAAAAUCAUAUUAUGAAACAUAGAAUAGAAGUUAGCGCACAAUCUAGAUCAUCUAAGCGAAAAGUGAGAUAUAAAAAGAAGAUUAAGAAGGAGGAGAAAGAAGAAGAAAUGCCAUCGCCUGUUGUUGAACCUAAUUCGGAUGAAGUGAGCCUAAGGUGUUCACAACUGACUGUUAUCAAUCCUCUGAAUCAUAAGGAUAUUCAAAGCACGUGCGAAUUGCCGCUAUCAUCAUUUCACACGUCAUAUCGUAAAAAAUCACCUCACACUUUAUGCACAUCUAGAAAUAUCUACAAGCAAUUGAAGUGUGUAGGUAUUCAGCAGUUGAGAAAUAUGUCCCCACGAAAGCAACAAAUUUUACUAAACUAUCACGGAGAUUCUACAACGAAUACAAUCUUCAAGGAAGAUCCCAAACUGGAGAACCCUCAACACAACACGGAAGAUAACGUCUGGGAAGAUUCAAGUGUAUUAUAUAGAUCUGUGGAACAGCCACAUACACCAGGUAGCAAGACUUGCUUUAAAUAUUUUAAAAGGAAUAUAAAGGUCGACAUGGAUAUUACAAAAGUGAAUUUUACCACAGAUAAACAUAUAACUGAAGUUUCAAAUAAUAUUCUCAUUAAAUCUGGUAUCAAAUGGACAUUACAAAACAUAGAUGCGCAAUCGUCGAAGUUUAUUAAAAAACAGAUGGUUCCAACACUGGAUGAAGAAACGCCCGUGAAGAAAAGGAAAUUGGCUACAAAGUUUCCGCCAACUUUAGAAGCAAAUACGGUUGUUUGUUCUAUAAAUCAGCAGGAAGCACAAAAAAAACAUUUUGUUUCCGCAAAGAAAGAAUCUUCAAAGUGGCAAAUAGUUCCUAAUAUCUACACGGAAGAUCAACAACGGAAGAUUUUAUUUCUCUAUUUUGAGCAGCUUAUAAUUAUAUUAUAGUUAAAGUCUUUUAUACGAACAAAAGUAUAAUUAUACAUAGUAGAACUAGUUUGAUAUGAGUUUACAAUUUAAGGCUGAUAUUUCUAAUUAAAAAUUGUAGUAUCGCUAGAAUUUAAAUAAGCCAAGAAGUGAUAACGUGUUGUAUACUUAUAUUUUUCAACAAGGUUAAAACUUAAAACACAAUUUAUACAAAUAUUCACAAAAUCUUGUUUGUAAAAAUUUGAUAUUGACCAGGUUUCAUAUAUACAAAUAGGAGGAAAAAUAUGGUAGGUGAGUACACGUAAAAUGUGUACAAUGUUUCUAAAAUAAGCCUUACCUGCCCAUUAAUAUAAAGGAGCAUUUAAAAUAUAUUUGCAAAUAAAUUUCUAUAAGGUUUAUAAACUUCAUAGAAUGGAGAAAUACUACUAAAGGAACAUUAUUUAAAUCAGUGCAGUCCAUGGGUUUAGUCUUUUACACUGCAAGCUCCAUAAACACCAAGUUUUCAUGAUAACGACCAGUUAUAAUAUGUGCAAAUUUUAGACUUAAAAUUAUAAGGAUUAAUUUACUAUAAUUAUUAUGAAACAUUAGUUU
RNA transcript from Colletes gigas, 5510 nucleotides. RefSeq lists it as uncharacterized. NCBI's taxonomy places the organism in Eukaryota, Metazoa, Arthropoda, Insecta, Hymenoptera, Colletidae. The transcript has 9 exons. The record is from RefSeq and is a predicted model, not a curated record.